Molecule: ribosomal RNA, 289 nt
Filed under: uncultured Caryophanales bacterium
Lineage: Bacteria; Bacillati; Bacillota; Bacilli; Caryophanales
Description: uncultured Bacillales bacterium partial 16S ribosomal RNA
Source: RNAcentral
CUACCCGGGUUUCUAAUCCUGUUUGCUCCCCACGCUUUCGCGCCUCAGCGUCAGUUACAGACCAGAAAGCCGCCUUCGCCACUGGUGUUCCUCCACAUCUCUACGCAUUUCACCGCUACACGUGGAAUUCCGCUUUCCUCUUCUGCACUCAAGUCCCCCAGUUUCCAAUGACCCUCCACGGUUGAGCCGUGGGCUUUCACAUCAGACUUAAAGGACCGCCUGCGCGCGCUUUACGCCCAAUAAUUCCGGACAACGCUUGCCACCUACGUAUUACCGCGGCUGCUGGCAC